UACAGAGGGUGCAAGCGUUAAUCGGAAUUACUGGGCGUAAAGCGUGCGUAGACGGUUACAUAAGUCGGGUGUGAAAGCCCCGGGCUCAACCUGGGAAUUGCAUUCGAGACUGCGUAGCUAGGGUGCGGAAGAGGGAAGCGGAAUUUCCGGUGUAGCGGUGAAAUGCGUAGAUAUCGGAAGGAACACCAGUGGCGAUAGCGGCUUCCUGGUCCAGCACCGACGUUCAGGCACGAAAGCGUGGGGAGCAAACAGG
RNAcentral lists this ribosomal RNA (253 nucleotides) under uncultured bacterium. RNAcentral describes it as "partial 16S ribosomal RNA". It matches the Rfam family "Bacterial small subunit ribosomal RNA", at positions 524 to 776 of the family's 1533-position model. The record is from RNAcentral.